Long non-coding RNA from Mustela erminea (ermine), 734 nucleotides. RefSeq lists it as uncharacterized. The transcript is spliced from 4 exons. The record is from RefSeq and is a predicted model, not a curated record. NCBI's taxonomy places the organism in Eukaryota, Metazoa, Chordata, Mammalia, Carnivora, Mustelidae.
GGCUGCUGUCCAUGAGCUGAUGUCCACUCAGAUGCUCAAUUAUUCCUCUCACGUGGCUGCAUUUCUGGGAGCUCUGGGUCCCUGAGAUAGUGUGGUCCCUAAAGAGCACAUCUCGAAAGGAGACUAGAACCUGUGAAGACAAUAACCUCAAAAGGAGCAGUCAGCCGGCACUGGUUUCCGGUUUCCACUGUUAGAAACUAAGCACCUUGAUGGGCAGGGCUGGAGAGUGAUGCGAUCGGAGGCACCAUUUCAGAAGAUAACUGGCUGAUAAGUGGAAAGUUGCUUAAAAAGUGCAUCAGCCAAGGGCCAAUCAGAAACAUCACGGGCCAGACCCAGCAGGAGGCCGGCUAGCUGCCAGGGUGUCCAGACAUUUGGUCCAACAUUAUUCCGGAUGCUUCCAUGAAGAUGUUUCUGGAUGAGAUUAACAUCUGAUUCCACAGCGUGAGUAAAACAAAUUGCUCUCCCUACAGUGGGUGGGACCUCAUCUAAUCUGUUGGAGGCCUGAAUAGAACAAAAGGGCUGACUUUUCUUCAACCAAGUCCUGUGCCUGACUGCCUUCGAGAUGGGACGCUGGGCUUUUUCCUGCAUUUGGACUUGAUCUGAAAGAUGGGCUGUCUUGUGUCUUGAGCCUGCUGGCUUUUGGACCAGAAAUACACCAUUGAUUUCCCUGGGUCUCCAGCCUGCUGAUCCGGGGCCUUGUCAGCCUCUGUGCUCAUGUGAACCUAUCCUUAGAA